CCUACGGGUGGCUGCAGUCGAGAAUCUUCGGCAAUGGGCGCAAGCCUGACCGAGCGACGCCGCGUGCGGGAUGAAGGCCUUCGGGUUGUAAACCGCUGUCAGGGGGGAUCAAAACAAUGAGAGAUCCCCAGAGGAAGCACGGGCUAAGUUCGUGCCAGCAGCCGCGGUAAGACGAACCGUGCGAACGUUGUUCGGAAUCACUGGGCUUAAAGGGCGCGUAGGCGGCCUACCCAGUCGGGGGUGAAAUCUUUCGGCUUAACCGGAAAAUUGCCUUCGAUACUGGUAGGCUCGAGGAAGGUAGGGGCAGAGGGAACUUCCGGUGGAGCGGUGAAAUGUGUUGAUAUCGGAAGGAACGCCGGUGGCGAAAGCGCUCUGCUGGACCUUUUCUGACGCUGAGGCGCGAAAGCUAGGGUAGCGAACGGGAUUAGAUACCCUUGUAG
This 440-nucleotide ribosomal RNA is filed under the name uncultured bacterium. RNAcentral describes it as "bacterial SSU rRNA". It matches the Rfam family "Bacterial small subunit ribosomal RNA", at positions 338 to 793 of the family's 1533-position model. The record is from RNAcentral.